This 85-nucleotide transfer RNA is filed under the name Methanomassiliicoccales archaeon. RNAcentral's name for it is "tRNA-Leu". It matches the Rfam family "tRNA". From Rfam's summary of the family: Transfer RNA (tRNA) molecules are approximately 80 nucleotides in length. The record is from RNAcentral. Lineage: Archaea; Methanobacteriati; Thermoplasmatota; Thermoplasmata; Methanomassiliicoccales.
GCGGGGGUAGCCAAGCUUGGCCAAAGGCGCAGGACUUAAGAUCCUGUCUCAUAGGAGUCCGUGGGUUCGAAUCCCUCCCCCCGCA